This 2934-nucleotide ribosomal RNA is filed under the name Salmonella enterica subsp. enterica serovar Concord. Its description in RNAcentral is "bacterial LSU rRNA". It matches the Rfam family "Bacterial large subunit ribosomal RNA". Lineage: Bacteria; Pseudomonadati; Pseudomonadota; Gammaproteobacteria; Enterobacterales; Enterobacteriaceae. The record is from RNAcentral.
GGGUUGUGAGGUUAAGCGACUAAGCGUACACGGUGGAUGCCCUGGCAGUCAGAGGCGAUGAAGGGCGUGCUAAUCUGCGAUAAGCGCCGGUAAGGUGAUAUGAACCGUUAUAACCGGCGAUACCCGAAUGGGGAAACCCAGUGUGAUUCGUCACACUAUCAUUAACUGAAUCCAUAGGUUAAUGAGGCGAACCGGGGGAACUGAAACAUCUAAGUACCCCGAGGAAAAGAAAUCAACCGAGAUUCCCCCAGUAGCGGCGAGCGAACGGGGAGGAGCCCAGAGCCUGAAUCAGCAUGUGUGUUAGUGGAAGCGUCUGGAAAGGCGCGCGAUACAGGGUGACAGCCCCGUACACAAAAGCGCAUGUGCUGUGAGCUCGAUGAGUAGGGCGGGACACGUGGUAUCCUGUCUGAAUAUGGGGGGACCAUCCUCCAAGGCUAAAUACUCCUGACUGACCGAUAGUGAACCAGUACCGUGAGGGAAAGGCGAAAAGAACCCCGGCGAGGGGAGUGAAAAAGAACCUGAAACCGUGUACGUACAAGCAGUGGGAGCACAGGUUUACCUGUGUGACUGCGUACCUUUUGUAUAAUGGGUCAGCGACUUAUAUUCUGUAGCAAGGUUAACCGUAUAGGGGAGCCGUAGGGAAACCGAGUCUUAACCGGGCGUUAAGUUGCAGGGUAUAGACCCGAAACCCGGUGAUCUAGCCAUGGGCAGGUUGAAGGUUGGGUAACACUAACUGGAGGACCGAACCGACUAAUGUUGAAAAAUUAGCGGAUGACCUGUGGCUGGGGGUGAAAGGCCAAUCAAACCGGGAGAUAGCUGGUUCUCCCCGAAAGCUAUUUAGGUAGCGCCUCGUGAAUUCAUCUCCGGGGGUAGAGCACUGUUUCGGCUAGGGGGCCAUCCCGGCUUACCAACCCGAUGCAAACUGCGAAUACCGGAGAAUGUUAUCACGGGAGACACACGGCGGGUGCUAACGUCCGUCGUGAAGAGGGAAACAACCCAGACCGCCAGCUAAGGUCCCAAAGUCAUGGUUAAGUGGGAAACGAUGUGGGAAGGCCCAGACAGCCAGGAUGUUGGCUUAGAAGCAGCCAUCAUUUAAAGAAAGCGUAAUAGCUCACUGGUCGAGUCGGCCUGCGCGGAAGAUGUAACGGGGCUAAACCAUGCACCGAAGCUGCGGCAGCGACGCUUAUGCGUUGUUGGGUAGGGGAGCGUUCUGUAAGCCUGUGAAGGUGGCCUGUGAGGGUUGCUGGAGGUAUCAGAAGUGCGAAUGCUGACAUAAGUAACGAUAAAGCGGGUGAAAAGCCCGCUCGCCGGAAGACCAAGGGUUCCUGUCCAACGUUAAUCGGGGCAGGGUGAGUCGACCCCUAAGGCGAGGCCGAAAGGCGUAGUCGAUGGGAAACGGGUUAAUAUUCCCGUACUUGGUGUUACUGCGAAGGGGGGACGGAGAAGGCUAUGUUGGCCGGGCGACGGUUGUCCCGGUUUAAGCGUGUAGGUGUGUGUUCCAGGUAAAUCCGGUUCACUUUAACACUGAGGCGUGAUGACGAGGCACUACGGUGCUGAAGCAACAAAUGCCCUGCUUCCAGGAAAAGCCUCUAAGCAUCAGGUAACAUCAAAUCGUACCCCAAACCGACACAGGUGGUCAGGUAGAGAAUACCAAGGCGCUUGAGAGAACUCGGGUGAAGGAACUAGGCAAAAUGGUGCCGUAACUUCGGGAGAAGGCACGCUGACACGUAGGUGAAGUGAUUUACUCACGGAGCUGAAGUCAGUCGAAGAUACCAGCUGGCUGCAACUGUUUAUUAAAAACACAGCACUGUGCAAACACGAAAGUGGACGUAUACGGUGUGACGCCUGCCCGGUGCCGGAAGGUUAAUUGAUGGGGUCAGCGCAAGCGAAGCUCCUGAUCGAAGCCCCGGUAAACGGCGGCCGUAACUAUAACGGUCCUAAGGUAGCGAAAUUCCUUGUCGGGUAAGUUCCGACCUGCACGAAUGGCGUAAUGAUGGCCAGGCUGUCUCCACCCGAGACUCAGUGAAAUUGAACUCGCUGUGAAGAUGCAGUGUACCCGCGGCAAGACGGAAAGACCCCGUGAACCUUUACUAUAGCUUGACACUGAACAUUGAGCCUUGAUGUGUAGGAUAGGUGGGAGGCUUUGAAGCGUGGACGCCAGUCUGCGUGGAGCCGACCUUGAAAUACCACCCUUUAAUGUUUGAUGUUCUAACGUGGACCCGUGAUCCGGGUUGCGGACAGUGUCUGGUGGGUAGUUUGACUGGGGCGGUCUCCUCCUAAAGAGUAACGGAGGAGCACGAAGGUUGGCUAAUCCUGGUCGGACAUCAGGAGGUUAGUGCAAUGGCAUAAGCCAGCUUGACUGCGAGCGUGACGGCGCGAGCAGGUGCGAAAGCAGGUCAUAGUGAUCCGGUGGUUCUGAAUGGAAGGGCCAUCGCUCAACGGAUAAAAGGUACUCCGGGGAUAACAGGCUGAUACCGCCCAAGAGUUCAUAUCGACGGCGGUGUUUGGCACCUCGAUGUCGGCUCAUCACAUCCUGGGGCUGAAGUAGGUCCCAAGGGUAUGGCUGUUCGCCAUUUAAAGUGGUACGCGAGCUGGGUUUAGAACGUCGUGAGACAGUUCGGUCCCUAUCUGCCGUGGGCGCUGGAGAACUGAGGGGGGCUGCUCCUAGUACGAGAGGACCGGAGUGGACGCAUCACUGGUGUUCGGGUUGUCAUGCCAAUGGCACUGCCCGGUAGCUAAAUGCGGAAGAGAUAAGUGCUGAAAGCAUCUAAGCACGAAACUUGCCCCGAGAUGAGUUCUCCCUGAGACUUAGAGUCUCCUGAAGGAACGUUGAAGACGACGACGUUGAUAGGCCGGGUGUGUAAGCGCAGCGAUGCGUUGAGCUAACCGGUACUAAUGAACCGUGAGGCUUAACCUUACAACGCCGAAGCUGUU